CUUUGCACUGCCUCUUGGUUUCCUGUUCCCAGUGCAAAAACGGUUUGCUUUUAGCAAGUUAAACCUGUUGGUUCCCUGUAUUUACCCCCUGCCUUGGAUCCUUCAGCAUUUUGCUGUGCCUUUUCAAUCUGCAUGGGUCUGAGAUCCUAAACUUGGAGAGAUUACAGAGUGAACUCACUCUAACCCUCUAACCGAUCUGAGGAUGAUACUCAGCUGCUAGUACUCAUGCCAUUCAACAAGAGGCAGCACUGGAUUGAUCAGUGCCUCAAAUUUCACAGAUCUUUGGUUCUGAUAAUUUUCUUGUGCUGUUGUCUAGUUAAAAGUGCGAAACAUUAGUUUGUUGACCCAGAUUGCAACCCAGUAUUUACAUGAGGGAAGAAGACACUCCCACAGCAAAUUGCACAGAUGUGCAACUUCCUCACACAACUAAUGAUACGAACAUCAGCUGGCUUCCUCCCCUCAGUAAACGGACACAAGAACCUGUUGUUUGCAAGAACAAGGAAUUAAUCAUUAUUGACCAAGCAUUCAUUAUGGCAGCUAUCAAGAACAAGUGACACCCACACAUCUCCUUCACUUACUGGCGAUGAUAAUAAAGGAGAUAAACAACUGGAGCUCAUGCAGUUAGACUUAAUCUUUGUAUGUCAUCGUCACCAAGCAAAGCCACAGCAAUAGGAAGGCAGAGCUGUUCUCUGCUGCUUGUUUCUAACUGACAUUUCUUCACCAAGUUGCUCAUGUAACCUGUGGAUUCUUUGAACUUAAAUUUGCGCCUGCUGUCUUUCACAGUGCAUGGGUACUACCAUGCAGGGCUGAGCUGCAGCACUACAUCCUCCGCCUAUACCCCGGUUGUUAUUUUGCCUCUGCCUUUGUGGUCUGAAGUUGGAUUGCAGAACUACAACAGAAACUCCUUAAUAAAAAUUAAAAAAAAAAAUAGUAACAAGAAAGGAAUACUCCGAUUUUAAAACCUUAUAGUACAGGUUAAAUGUAGAACAUGUAAGUAAGCAAUUCUUUACUUCAGAAAGGAGAAAAAGGCAGAAAUAAGGGUAUUUUUAUAAUCUUUUCUGGUUAAGUAUAUAUGCAUAGUUAUUUUGACUUAAAUCACAGGAAAUAACCGCAGAACCUUCAUCCUUCCAAGGGCUGCUUUUACUGAAGGAAAUUCACUGGAGCUACAGUCCAAACUAAUGCAUUUUUCUUACUGCUGGAGAGAAGCCCUGGAGUUGCUUAACUUGACUUUUCCUGCAGUCAGCCCUUCAUCCAUCCUGCCUUUCCAGCCUGCUGUGGUUGCUUGGCCGUUGCCCUUGGAAUAUAAUUUUCUGCCUUCAUUUCAAGAGUUUCCUGGGACUCAACAGUGCACCCAAGUCCACACACAGGACCUAACCUGGCUUUCAUCAUCAAUGCAGCUAGUUUCUCAUUGAUGCCUAUGCAGUAAAAAGUACUCUUUGAGGCAAGGGCUAGGGUGUUUUUAAUACUAUUUCUAGUAUAUGGCCAGGGAGAGGCAGGAGCCUGCGCUGUGCAGUGCAUCCUGCAGCUGGUUUGUUCAUUUCCAUUCCCUGAGGGGCUGUUCUAGAGUUUCACUGAAGUGGUUUCAGAGUGGUUUCUCCUUUAACCCCUUUCACUUCUCGCCUCCUUAGGGGUGGAUUGCUCCAUCACGGGGCUGGUCUUGAAAGCAGUGUCAACAUUGUGUGUCUGCAUCAGGCAAAGAGGCUAUGCCCUUGCUGUCCAAUUCUGUAUCUUCAUAGUCUCACACUUUCUUGUUAAGAUAAAACAUUGGCAUUACUCUAGCAUUCUGCUAAUGAGUGAAAAAGCUACACAAGAUAAUGCUCCCAAAGAUGACAUUCCACCCUGGACUUCAGCCUCUGUCCCUGUGCAUCAGGAGCCAAUGACCUAUGCAAACAGAGAAAAAAUAUCCUUUCUCUAGCCAGUUUUGAUUUGGCUGGGGAAAGCUGAGAAGCCCAGGAAGAAACAAAAGCAGCUUACUUCGUCAUCUUCAUGAGAAAAAAAUAAACAGCUCUCAUCUUGACCACUGGUGUUUGAAGAUUAAAGUAGCCCAAGGGCUGUCACAGGCAGCAAGCAUAGCAGGAAAAUUAGUUCAUUCUGACUCACAACAGAGUGAUCUAAUUUAAUGGGGCACUGACAAGGCUGUCGGGCAUUAAUUUAGCUAUUAUCUAAGUUAGCCUGAUUGAUGGUUGUGUCCUGCUAGAGUCCUCCAUGCAAGGGGCUUGAGAUGUCACUCCAACUCUGUACCUGCAGUGGUGCCAGCGGAGCGCCUGCUCCGACGGUACCUGGGGCCUCUUGCUGCAAGGGAGCGGAGCAGCAUCUGUCAGCAGCGUAUGCUCAGAGGGGCAGGCAAAGUCCCUGCAGACAGGGAAAAAAUGCAAUUAUAAUUAAAGAGUCACUCCGGUCACACAAGAGGGCAGAAGAGAGGCUGGAUAGGAAAGCUGCCUUCUGGCGUUUCCUGCCUUUGAUUUCUUAAUUUUGCAACGUGAUCUCUUUUCUUUUAAGGUACUUUAGUAUGUAAUUUCUUAAGCUUCUUUAUUUUAGAGCAAAAGGAUUUUGUAAAAAGACUAUUUGAUCCUCCUACCAGAUUGAAACCACUAUGUGAAUUUCCACAGAACUGUAGUGUUACAAAUUGCUUGUUUGUGUCUUUGUUUUUGCUGGUUAGGGAGUAAUCUUUCCUGACUGAAAAACUGGAGUUGUUCCAGCCCAUGAAAACAUUUCAACCUGAUGCAGAAUAGUUCCCUUGAAGGAAUAAAAAAAAACCAAACCAA
Molecule: long non-coding RNA, 2765 nt
Organism: Falco peregrinus (peregrine falcon)
Lineage: Eukaryota; Metazoa; Chordata; Aves; Falconiformes; Falconidae
Exons: 2
Source: RefSeq, a predicted model, not a curated record